GAUGCUAAUACCGGAUAACAACAGAUGAUGCCUAUCAACNGUUUAAAAGAUGGUUCUGCUAUCACUCUUGGAUGGACCUGCGGUGCAUUAGCUAGUUGGUAGGGUAACGGCCUACCAAGGCGAUGAUGCAUAGCCGAGUUGAGAGACUGAUCGGCCACAUUGGGACUGAGACACGGCCCAAACUCCUACGGGAGGCAGCAGUC
This 203-nucleotide ribosomal RNA is filed under the name uncultured Lactobacillus sp. RNAcentral's name for it is "partial 16S ribosomal RNA". It matches the Rfam family "Bacterial small subunit ribosomal RNA", at positions 159 to 355 of the family's 1533-position model. The record is from RNAcentral. Lineage: Bacteria; Bacillati; Bacillota; Bacilli; Lactobacillales; Lactobacillaceae.